AGUCUCCAACGCUUCCGAUCCUCAUCCUCCUCAGGGUUCCUCCCCACCACCCUCCCUCGGCCCCCAGCGCGUUCUGCAGGUCCCGCGGUGGCCUGCUCGCGCUGGUGCGCCCCCACAGCCGGAGCCGUGGCGCGCAGGGCAGCUAUCCAAGGGCGGAACAGACACGUGAGGCCGUGGAAGGAAGCGCGCCAGGCUGCCUAGAGGAGGCAAAGCUGGAGGGCAAGUGGAUAACGUUCUGGAACACGGGCCCUUCCUGUGGGCUGGGGACCACCGUCCUCCACCCUCCACCAGGGCCACGCAGAAGGAAAGGAAAUAGAUGCAGAAGGAAGAGGGAUCAAGUAAGCCAACUUAGGCAAAAACCAGUGGAACUAGGAAGAAGAAAUGUAAAGACACAUGAAAUUUGUUAGAAUGGAUUUGUUGACAAAGCCAAUCUCUAAGGCCAGGCUCAUAAAAACAGAGGAUGAGAAGAAAGAGGAGAAAAACGAGGUCCAGAGUAUCAGGAGAGCUUGCUGAAGAAGAGGCACUGGCUAUAUAAAGGAAAGAACCACUUAAAAAGGAAAUGAGAAGAUAAUGGAUUUUAGCCCCUCUAUUAUUACCUUGAGCUAUCCUGCAGAGCAGCAGUUCCUGUGGCCCCUUCCCUGCCUGUACACUUGGUGAACAGCAGGAACUGAAGCACAAAUCUCACCUCAAAUGGUCAGUGUGGCACCCCAAAAUCACUUCCCAAUGUUUUAAGAGUAACACUCCUGUUUCUUAGCAUGGACCCAUUAUUUUAUAAACUACAACUAUUAAAAAUGAUUUACAGUCACUUGCCAACUUUACGAUUCUGUUGGACUCACUUGAAUAUUACCCUGCUCUUAAAAAGAGGAUAGCCGGUCAAAGUGUGUCCACUCUCAAAAUGGCAUGGGUUUUGAUGACUACUGUUUCCAGAGUUGAAAUCUACACCACGACUCAGGUCAGUCUUACCUCUCCAACAUCCCUUGUUCUGUUUGACCUUACUUCCUGUCUCCUAGAUCUUCUCUCUUAUAUCAGCUUCUUUGUACCUUGGAGCUUUCUUUCACUAAAGAUAUCUCUGGAUUUUUACCAGUUUAGUCCUCUCCUUCCAAA
Long non-coding RNA from Manis pentadactyla (Chinese pangolin), 1104 nucleotides. RefSeq lists it as uncharacterized. The record is from RefSeq and is a predicted model, not a curated record. The transcript has 5 exons. NCBI's taxonomy places the organism in Eukaryota, Metazoa, Chordata, Mammalia, Pholidota, Manidae.